GACGAACGCUGGCGGCAUGCCUAACACAUGCAAGUCGAACGGAGAUUAUUUCGGUAAUCUUAGUGGCGAACGGGUGAGUAACGCGUGGGCAACCUGCCCUCUAGAUGGGGACAACAUCCCGAAAGGGGUGCUAAUACCGAAUGUGACAGCAAUCUCGCAUGAGGAUGCUGUGAAAGAUGGCCUCUAUUUAUAAGCUAUCGCUAGAGGAUGGGCCUGCGUCUGAUUAGCUAGUUGGUGGGGUAACGGCCUACCAAGGCGAUGAUCAGUAGCCGGUCUGAGAGGAUGAACGGCCACAUUGGGACUGAGACACGGCCCAGACGACUAAGGGAGGGAGCAGUGGGGAAUCUUCCGAAAUGGGCGAAAGCCUGACGGAGCAAUGCCGAGGGAGUGAUGAAGGAAGUCGUUCCGUAAAGCUCUUUUGUUUAUGACGAAUGUGCAGAUUGUGAACAAUGAUCUGUAAUGACGGUAGUAAACGAAUAAGCCACGGCUAACUACGUG
Molecule: ribosomal RNA, 498 nt
Filed under: uncultured bacterium
Lineage: Bacteria
Description: partial 16S ribosomal RNA
Rfam family: Bacterial small subunit ribosomal RNA
Source: RNAcentral